Molecule: long non-coding RNA, 282 nt
Organism: Sarcophilus harrisii (Tasmanian devil)
Lineage: Eukaryota; Metazoa; Chordata; Mammalia; Dasyuromorphia; Dasyuridae
Exons: 2
Source: RefSeq, a predicted model, not a curated record
UAUAUCUAGCGAAUCCCCGCCUCCCCCGGCCCUAGCAACCGCUGUGGCUUCUCUAGUGACUCAGCUUUGCCGCCCCGCCCAUCACCGAAAAUGAACAUAGAAGAAGAGCUUGCCUAAGGCAGUCUGUAUGGCGGGCUCCUGUCAUUUUAUUCUGGGCUCGAGAGAAUUGGACAUUUUCUGCAGAAAACGGCAGAAUCUGGUGGACCACGAUUCAUUGGCAAACCUGAUGAUUUACCACCCAAAGAAUGUUGUGACAUUGUAGAAGAGUGAGAUGGAAGCACA